UACGGAGGGGGCUAGCGUUGUUCGGAAUUACUGGGCGUAAAGCGCACGUAGGCGGCUUUGUAAGUUAGAGGUGAAAGCCUGGAGCUCAACUCCAGAAUUGCCUUUAAGACUGCAUCGCUUGAAUCCGAGAGAGGUGAGUGGAAUUCCGAGUGUAGAGGUGAAAUUCGUAGAUAUUCGGAAGAACACCAGUGGCGAAGGCGGCUCACUGGCUCGGUAUUGACGCUGAGGUGCGAAAGCGUGGGGAGCAAACAGG
This 253-nucleotide ribosomal RNA is filed under the name uncultured bacterium. Its description in RNAcentral is "partial 16S ribosomal RNA". It matches the Rfam family "Bacterial small subunit ribosomal RNA", at positions 524 to 776 of the family's 1533-position model. The record is from RNAcentral.